AUUGAACGCUGGCGGCAGGCCUAACACAUGCAAGUCGAAUGGUAACAGGAAACAGCUUGCUGUUUCGCUGACGAGUGGCGGACGGGUGAGUAAUGUCUGGGAAACUGCCUGAUGGAGGGGGAUAACUACUGGAAACGGUAGCUAAUACCGCAUAACGUCGCAAGACCAAAGAGGGGGACCUUCGGGCCUCUUGCCAUCAGAUGUGCCCAGAUGGGAUUAGCUAGUAGGUGGGGUAACGGCUCACCUAGGCGACGAUCCCUAGCUGGUCUGAGAGGAUGACCAGCCACACUGGAACUGAGACACGGUCCAGACUCCUACGGGAGGCAGCAGUGGGGAAUAUUGCACAAUGGGCGCAAGCCUGAUGCGGCCAUGCCGCGUGUAUGAAGAAGGCCUUCGGGUUGUAAAGUACUUUCAGCGGGGAGGAAGGGAGUAAAGUUAAUACCUUUGCUCAUUGACGUUACCCGCAGAAGAAGCACCGGCUAACUCCGUG
Molecule: ribosomal RNA, 490 nt
Filed under: uncultured bacterium
Lineage: Bacteria
Description: partial 16S ribosomal RNA
Rfam family: Bacterial small subunit ribosomal RNA
Source: RNAcentral